GUUUGUAGCUCAGUGGUGCUGUUUCCGCCUUGCAUGCAGAAGGUUCCAGGUUCAAACCCUGACAGCUGCU
Podarcis lilfordi (Lilford's wall lizard) is the source of this 70-nucleotide non-coding RNA. The record is from the annotation of a GenBank genome assembly. Lineage: Eukaryota; Metazoa; Chordata; Lepidosauria; Squamata; Lacertidae.